Acipenser ruthenus (sterlet) is the source of this 368-nucleotide long non-coding RNA. RefSeq lists it as uncharacterized. The transcript is spliced from 3 exons. The record is from RefSeq and is a predicted model, not a curated record. NCBI's taxonomy places the organism in Eukaryota, Metazoa, Chordata, Actinopteri, Acipenseriformes, Acipenseridae.
AAAGUUCCAAGUGGGGGCUGUGGUUGCCACUUGACAGAUGACCAAGAGAUGGCUAUAAUAGAUGUGGUCCAGGCCAAACAUGACAUUCCCCAUAGAGAUCCAGAGCAACAUCUAUGAAGAUGAGGACAUGUUUCAAGGAGUACAGAAUGGACCUCUCCAAGAACCUCCCUACUGUGAGCAUGUUAUGGACAGAUCCUUCCAGUAUUGAGCAGCCGCGUAAAGUCCUCAACAGAAGAUGGAUGUGAUCUACCCAUGCUUGCAAUAUGCAUCCAAGAAGAUAUUCUUCUACAAUCAAAACUGUUCAGUGGUAUGAGGACCCUUGAACUGCCUGUGCUUCAGGCUCCUCUUAUGCAUUCAAAGUGCUUGUU